RNAcentral lists this long non-coding RNA (200 nucleotides) under Salvia miltiorrhiza (redroot sage). RNAcentral describes it as "long non-coding RNA (SMIL_LNC009267)". The record is from RNAcentral. Lineage: Eukaryota; Viridiplantae; Streptophyta; Magnoliopsida; Lamiales; Lamiaceae.
UCCAAAGUAAGUUCCGAUCUAUAGGAGUUUUCGAUUUUUUCGUUAUUCAAUGGUUUUUUUUCCUGAUUUUUGGAAUCUCAUUUUGUUCAACACGAUAUCCAAAAUCGAUUAAUUGUGAUGUUUUUUUUCACUUUUUCAAGGUGUUAAUCUGGUUGGAAAAGCGGUGAAAGUAGUUUGUUCAUCGAAAACGCAGAGAUUUG